Molecule: small nuclear RNA, 23 nt
Filed under: Arabidopsis thaliana (thale cress)
Lineage: Eukaryota; Viridiplantae; Streptophyta; Magnoliopsida; Brassicales; Brassicaceae
Description: snRNA_13872
Source: RNAcentral
GAAGAUCUGGCAUUUCAAACGGU